This 278-nucleotide ribosomal RNA is filed under the name uncultured bacterium. Its description in RNAcentral is "partial 16S ribosomal RNA". It matches the Rfam family "Bacterial small subunit ribosomal RNA", at positions 511 to 788 of the family's 1533-position model. The record is from RNAcentral.
GCAGCCGCGGUAAUACGGAGGAUGCGAGCGUUAUCCGGAUUUAUUGGGUUUAAAGGGAGCGUAGGUGGUUUUAUAAGCCAGCUGUGAAAUACUGCCGCUCAACGGCAGCCGUGCAGUUGGAACUGUAAGACUUGAGUGUACGGGAGGAAAGUGGAAUUCGUGGUGUAGCGGUGAAAUGUUUAGAUAUCACGAAGAACUCCAAUUGCGUAGGCAGCUUUCUACAGUACAACUGACACUGAUGCUCGAAAGUGCGGGUAUCGAACAGGAUUAGAUACCCC